UACGGGGGGGGCAAGCGUUGUUCGGAAUUACUGGGCGUAAAGGGCUCGUAGGUGGCCAACUAAGUCAGACGUGAAAUCCCUCGGCUUAACCGGGGAACUGCGCCUGAUACUGGAUGGCUUGAGUUCGGGAGAGGGAUGCGGAAUUCCAGGUGUAGCGGUGAAAUGCGUAGAUAUCUGGAGGAACACCGGUGGCGAAGGCGGCAUCCUGGACCGACACUGACACUGAGGAGCGAAAGCCAGGGGAGCAAACGGG
RNAcentral lists this ribosomal RNA (253 nucleotides) under uncultured bacterium. RNAcentral's name for it is "partial 16S ribosomal RNA". It matches the Rfam family "Bacterial small subunit ribosomal RNA", at positions 524 to 776 of the family's 1533-position model. The record is from RNAcentral.